ACCUAGCUGGCUCAGUUGGUAGAGCAUGCAGCUCUUGAUACCGGGGUUGUGAGUUCAAGUCCCACAUUGGGUA
Molecule: transfer RNA, 73 nt
Filed under: Mustela putorius furo (domestic ferret)
Lineage: Eukaryota; Metazoa; Chordata; Mammalia; Carnivora; Mustelidae
Rfam family: tRNA
About the family: Transfer RNA (tRNA) molecules are approximately 80 nucleotides in length. Their secondary structure includes four short double-helical elements and three loops (D, anti-codon, and T loops). Further hydrogen bonds mediate the characteristic L-shaped molecular structure. tRNAs have two regions of fundamental functional importance: the anti-codon, which is responsible for specific mRNA codon recognition, and the 3' end, to which the tRNAs corresponding amino acid is attached (by aminoacyl-tRNA synthetases). tRNAs cope with the degeneracy of the genetic code in two manners: having more than one tRNA (with a specific anti-codon) for a particular amino acid; and 'wobble' base-pairing, i.e. permitting non-standard base-pairing at the 3rd anti-codon position.
Source: Rfam by way of RNAcentral